RNAcentral lists this non-coding RNA (23 nucleotides) under Arabidopsis thaliana (thale cress). Lineage: Eukaryota; Viridiplantae; Streptophyta; Magnoliopsida; Brassicales; Brassicaceae. The record is from RNAcentral.
GGUGCAGAUGCUCGAACUAGCUU